GAUGAAGAACGUAGCGAAAUGCGAUAAGUAGUGUGAAUUGCAGAAUUCAGUGAAUCAUCGAAUCUUUGAACGCACAUUGCGCCCCUUGGUAUUCCAUGGGGCAUGCCUGUUCGAGCGUCAUUUGUACCUUCAAGCUCUGCUUGGUGUUGGGUGUUUGUCUCGCCUCUGCGUGUAGACUCGCCUCAAAACAAUUGGCAGCCGGCGUAUUGAUUUCGGAGCGCAGUACAUCUCGCUCUUUGCACUCAUAACGACGACGUCCAAAAGUACAUUUUUACACUCUUGACCUCGGAUCAGGUAGGGAUACCCGCUGAACUUAAGCAUAUCAAUAAGCGGAGGA
This 337-nucleotide unclassified non-coding RNA is filed under the name soil metagenome. Its description in RNAcentral is "partial contains 5.8S ribosomal RNA, internal transcribed spacer 2, and large subunit ribosomal RNA". The stretch from base 1 to 120 matches the Rfam family "5.8S ribosomal RNA", at positions 35 to 154 of the family's 154-position model. The record is from RNAcentral.